UGGGGAAUUUUGGACAAUGGGGGAAACCCUGAUCCAGCCAUCCCGCGUGUGCGAUGAAGGCCUUCGGGUUGUAAAGCACUUUUGGCAGGUAAGAAACUUCAUGGGUUAAUACCCCGUGAAACUGACGGUACCUGCAGAAUAAUCACCGGCUAACUACGUGCCAGCAGCCGCCGUAAUACGUAGGGUGCAAGCGUUAAUCGGAAUUACUGGGCGUAAAGCGUGCGCAGGCGGUUCGGAAAGAAAGAUGUGAAAUCCCAGAGCUCAACUUUGGAACUGCAGUUUUAACUAACGGGCUAGAGUGUGUCAGAGGGAGGUGGAAUUCCGCGUGUAGCAGUGAAAUGCGUAGAUAUGCGGAGGAACACCGAUGGAGAAGGCAGCCUCCUGGGAUAACACUGACGCUCAUGCACGAAAGCGUGGGGAGCAAAAAGG
This 429-nucleotide ribosomal RNA is filed under the name Acidobacteriota bacterium. RNAcentral's name for it is "Acidobacteria bacterium partial 16S ribosomal RNA". It matches the Rfam family "Bacterial small subunit ribosomal RNA", at positions 355 to 776 of the family's 1533-position model. The record is from RNAcentral. Lineage: Bacteria; Pseudomonadati; Acidobacteriota.